Molecule: ribosomal RNA, 253 nt
Filed under: uncultured bacterium
Lineage: Bacteria
Description: partial 16S ribosomal RNA
Rfam family: Bacterial small subunit ribosomal RNA
Source: RNAcentral
UACGGAGGGUGCAAGCGGUACUCGGAAUCACUGGGCGUAAAGGGCGCGUAGGCGGCCUAGCAAGUCUGGUGUGAAAGCCCAGGGCUCAACCCUGGAAGGGCACUGGAAACUGUUAGGCUUGAGUUCCGGAGAGGAGGGCGGAAUUCCCGGUGUAGAGGUGAAAUGCGUAGAUAUCGGGAGGAAUACCGGUGGCGAAGGCGGUUCUCUGGACGGAUACUGACUCUGAGGCGCGAAAGCGUGGGGAGCAAACCGG